Molecule: ribosomal RNA, 554 nt
Filed under: uncultured bacterium
Lineage: Bacteria
Description: bacterial SSU rRNA
Rfam family: Bacterial small subunit ribosomal RNA
Source: RNAcentral
ACGGGUGAGUAACGCGUGGGUAACCUGCCUCAUACAGGGGGAUAACAGUUGGAAACGGCUGCUAAAACCGCAUAAGCAUACAUUGUCGCAUGACAGAGUGUGAAAAUAUUAAUAGGUAUGAGAUGGGCCCGCGUCUGAUUAGCUAGUUGGUAGGGUAACGGCCUACCGAGGCGACGAUCAGUAGCCGGCUUGAGAGAGUGACCGGCCACAUUGGGACUGAGACACGGCCCAAACUCCUACGGGAGGCAGCAGUGGGGAAUAUUGCACAAUGGGGGAAACCCUGAUGCAGCGACGCCGCGUGAGUGAAGAAGUAUUUCGGUAUGUAAAGCUCUAUCAGCAGGGAAGAAAAUGACGGUACCUGACUAAGAAGCCCCGGCUAACUACGUGCCAGCAGCCGCGGUAAUACGUAGGGGGCAAGCGUUAUCCGGAUUUACUGGGUGUAAAGGGAGCGUAGGUGGUUCGGCAAGUCAGAUGUGAAAGCCCGGGGCUCAACCCCGGGACUGCAUUUGAAACUGUCGGACUAGAGUGCAGGAGAGGUAAGUGGAAUUCCUAGU